UAAGAAAAUUAAAUUGAGCGCUCUAAGAAAAUUAAAGAACUGGUUACUUGAAUGAAACAUGAGCAAGAAAUGUAAAUUGAGUUUUGAAAAAUAAAGGUUGAUUGCUGAACUUGGAAAUAUGGGCAAAUAAUUGUAAAUUGACAUUGACAAUUAAAAGUAGAUUUGUGGGAGUUGAAAUAUGAAUGGGAAAUUUGAAAAUUGCAUUGAAAGCUAAAGAAACUAGUUACAGGAA
This 232-nucleotide unclassified non-coding RNA is filed under the name Hevea brasiliensis (rubber tree). The record is from RNAcentral. Lineage: Eukaryota; Viridiplantae; Streptophyta; Magnoliopsida; Malpighiales; Euphorbiaceae.